ACAANCGACUCUCGGCAACGGAUAUCUCGGCUCACGCAUCGAUGAAGAACGUAGCAAAAUGCGAUACUUGGUGUGAAUUGCAGAAUCCCGUGAACCAUCGAGUUUUUGAACGCAAGUUGCGCCCGAAGCCAUUCGGCCGAGGGCACGUCUGCCUGGGCGUCACG
This 164-nucleotide ribosomal RNA is filed under the name Echinops kandaharensis. RNAcentral's name for it is "5.8S ribosomal RNA". It matches the Rfam family "5.8S ribosomal RNA". Rfam says of the family: 5.8S ribosomal RNA (5.8S rRNA) is a component of the large subunit of the eukaryotic ribosome. The record is from RNAcentral. Lineage: Eukaryota; Viridiplantae; Streptophyta; Magnoliopsida; Asterales; Asteraceae.